UACGAAGGGGGCUAGCGUUGCUCGGAAUUACUGGGCGUAAAGCGCACGUAGGCGGCUUUCUAAGUCGGAGGUGAAAUCCUGGAGCUCAACUCCAGAACUGCCUUUGAUACUGAGGAUCUUGAGUUCGGGAGAGGUGAGUGGAACUGCGAGUGUAGAGGUGAAAUUCGUAGAUAUUCGCAAGAACACCAGUGGCGAAGGCGGCUCACUGGCCCGAUACUGACGCUGAGGCACGAAAGCGUGGGGAGCAAACAGG
Molecule: ribosomal RNA, 253 nt
Filed under: uncultured bacterium
Lineage: Bacteria
Description: partial 16S ribosomal RNA
Rfam family: Bacterial small subunit ribosomal RNA
Source: RNAcentral